This 253-nucleotide ribosomal RNA is filed under the name uncultured bacterium. RNAcentral describes it as "partial 16S ribosomal RNA". It matches the Rfam family "Bacterial small subunit ribosomal RNA", at positions 524 to 776 of the family's 1533-position model. The record is from RNAcentral.
UACGUAGGGUGCAAGCGUUAAUCGGAAUUACUGGGCGUAAAGCGUGCGCAGGCGGUUGUGUAAGACAGAUGUGAAAUCCCCGGGCUCAACCUGGGAACUGCAUUUGUGACUGCACGGCUGGAGUGCGGCAGAGGGGGAUGGAAUUCCAGGUGUAGCGGUGAAAUGCGUAGAUAUCUGGAGGAACAUCGGUGGCGAAGGCGGCAUCCUGGACCGGUAUUGACGCUGAGGCGCGAAAGCCAGGGGAGCAAACGGG